GAGUUUGAUCCUGGCUCAGAUUGAACGCUGGCGGCGUGCUUAACACAUGCAAGUCGAACGCGAAAGUGGCUUCGGCCACGAGUAGAGUGGCGCACGGGUGAGUAACGCGUGGAUAAUCUGCCUCUGCAAUCGGAAUAACGACUGGAAACGGUCGCUAAUACCGGAUACGCUUAAGUUUUACCUCUUAAGGAAAGAUGACCUCUAUUUAUAAGUUAUCGUGCAGAGAUGAGUCCGCGUCCCAUUAGCUUGUUGGCGGGGUAACGGCCCACCAAGGCGACGAUGGGUAGCCGAUUUAAGAGGAUGAUCGGCCACAUUGGAACUGAAACACGGUCCAAACUCCUACGGGAGGCAGCAGUGGGGAAUAUUGCGCAAUGGGCGAAAGCCUGACGCAGCGACGCCGCGUGAGGGAUGAAGGUCUUCGGAUCGUAAACCUCUGUCAGAAGGGAAAAAUGUACAGUGCUCCAAUCAACACUGUAUUGAUGGUACCUUCAGAGGAAGCACCGGCUAACUCCGUGCCAGCAGCCGCGGUAAUACGGAGGGUGCAAGCGUUAAUCGGAAUUACUGGGCGUAAAGCGCGCGUAGGUUGUUUUGUAAGUCAGAGGUGUAAUCCCACGGCUUAACCGUGGAACUGCCUUUGAUACUGCAUAACUUGGAUCCGGGAGAGGACAGCGGAAUUCCAGGUGUAGGAGUGAAAUCCGUAGAUAUCUGGAAGAACAUCAGUGGCGAAGGCGGCUGUCUGGACCGGUAUUGACGCUGAGGCGCGAAAGCGUGGGUAGCAAACAGGAUUAGAUACCCUGGUAGUCCACGCUGUAAACGAUGGAUGCUGGAUGUCGGGGCGCAAGCUUCGGUGUCGUAGUUAACGCGAUAAGCAUCCCGCCUGGGGACUACGGUCGCAAGGCUGAAACUCAAAGAAAUUGACGGGGGCCCGCACAAGCGGUGGAGUAUGUGGUUUAAUUCGAUGCAACGCGAAGAACCUUACCUGGGUUUGACAUCCUGCUAACGAAGUAGAGAUACAUUAGGUGCCCUUCGGGGAAAGCAGAGACAGGUGGUGCAUGGUUGUCGUCAGCUCGUGUCGUGAGAUGUUGGGUUAAGUCCCGCAACGAGCGCAACCCCUAUUGUUAGUUGCUACCAUUAAGUUGAGCACUCUAGCGAGACUGCCCGGGUUAACCGGGAGGAAGGUGGGGAUGACGUCAAAUCAUCAUGCCCCUUAUGUCUAGGGCUACACACGUGCUACAAUGGCAAGUACAAAGAGAAGCAAGACCGCGAGGUGGAGCAAAACUCAAAAACUUGUCUCAGUUCGGAUUGUAGGCUGGAACUCGCCUACAUGAAGCUGGAGUUGCUAGUAAUCGCGAAUCAGCAUGUCGCGGUGAAUACGUUCCCGGGCCUUGUACUCACCGCCCGUCA
Molecule: ribosomal RNA, 1404 nt
Filed under: uncultured bacterium
Lineage: Bacteria
Description: bacterial SSU rRNA
Rfam family: Bacterial small subunit ribosomal RNA
Source: RNAcentral